GUCGAACGCUUUGUGGUUCAACUGAUUUGAAGAGCUUGCUCAGAUAUGACGAUGGACAUUGCAAAGAGUGGCGAACGGGUGAGUAACACGUGGGAAACCUACCUCUUAGCAGGGGAUAACAUUUGGAAACAGAUGCUAAUACCGUAUAACAAUGACAACCGCAUGGUUGUUAUUUAAAAGAUGGUUCUGCUAUCACUAAGAGAUGGUCCCGCGGUGCAUUAGCUAGUUGGUAAGGUAAUGGCUUACCAAGGCGAUGAUGCAUAGCCGAGUUGAGAGACUGAUCGGCCACAAUGGGACUGAGACACGGCCCAUACUCCUACGGGAGGCAGCAGUAGGGAAUCUUCCACAAUGGGCGAAAGCCUGAUGGAGCAACGCCGCGUGUGUGAUGAAGGGUUUCGGCUCGUAAAACACUGUUGUAAGAGAAGAAUGACAUUGAGAGUAACUGUUCAAUGUGUGACGGUAUCUUACCAGAAAGGAACGGCUAAAUACGUGCCAGCAGCCGCGGUAAUACGUAUGUUCCAAGCGUUAUCCGGAUUUAUUGGGCGUAAAGCGAGCGCAGACGGUUAUUUAAGUCUGAAGUGAAAGCCCUCAGCUCAACUGAGGAAUUGCUUUGGAAACUGGAUGACUUGAGUGCAGUAGAGGAAAGUGGAACUCCAUGUGUAGCGGUGAAAUGCGUAGAUAUAUGGAAGAACACCAGUGGCGAAGGCGGCUUUCUGGACUGUAACUGACGUUGAGGCUCGAAAGUGUGGGUAGCAAACAGGAUUAGAUACCCUGGUAGUCCACACCGUAAACGAUGAGUGCUAGGUGUUUGAGGGUUUCCGCCCUUAAGUGCCGCAGCUAACGCAUUAAGCACUCCGCCUGGGGAGUACGACCGCAAGGUUGAAACUCAAAGGAAUUGACGGGGACCCGCACAAGCGGUGGAGCAUGUGGUUUAAUUCGAAGCAACGCGAAGAACCUUACCAGGUCUUGACAUCCCUUGACAACUCCAGAGAUGGAGCGUUCCCUUCGGGGACAAGGUGACAGGUGGUGCAUGGUUGUCGUCAGCUCGUGUCGUGAGAUGUUGGGUUAAGUCCCGCAACGAGCGCAACCCUUAUUACUAGUUGCCAGCAUUCAGUUGGGCACUCUAGUGAGACUGCCGGUGACAAACCGGAGGAAGGUGGGGAUGACGUCAAAUCAUCAUGCCCCUUAUGACCUGGGCUACACACGUGCUACAAUGGCGUAUACAACGAGUUGCCAACCCGCGAGGGUGAGCUAAUCUCUUAAAGUACGUCUCAGUUCGGAUUGUAGGCUGCAACUCGCCUACAUGAAGUCGGAAUCGCUAGUAAUCGCGGAUCAGCACGCCGCGGUGAAUACGUUCCCGGGUCUUGUACACACCGCCCGUCACACCAUGAGAGUUUGUAACACCCAAAGCCGGUGGGGUAACCUUC
RNAcentral lists this ribosomal RNA (1427 nucleotides) under Weissella confusa. RNAcentral's name for it is "bacterial SSU rRNA". It matches the Rfam family "Bacterial small subunit ribosomal RNA". The record is from RNAcentral. Lineage: Bacteria; Bacillati; Bacillota; Bacilli; Lactobacillales; Lactobacillaceae.